GUUGGCUGACUGGAAGCAGACCAGGGAGGAGCCAGAGAGCCCAGGGUGAUGUCAAAAGAGAGUGGUUAUGGUGCUUAGAGUGGUUAUUGACAAGGUGGCACUCUAAUCCCCAUAACCACUCUCUUUUGACAUCACCCUGGGCUCUCUGGCUCCUCCCUGGUCUGCUUCCAGUCAGCCAACA
Non-coding RNA from Pelobates cultripes (western spadefoot toad), 181 nucleotides. Lineage: Eukaryota; Metazoa; Chordata; Amphibia; Anura; Pelobatidae. The record is from the annotation of a GenBank genome assembly.